CCUACGGGAGGCAGCAGUGGGGAAUAUUGCGCAAUGGGCGAAAGCCUGACGCAGCGACGCCGCGUGAGGGAUGAAGGUCUUCGGAUCGUAAACCUCUGUCAGCAGGGAAGAACGGUCACUGUGCUAAUCAGCAGUGAAUUGACGGUACCUGCAAAGGAAGCACCGGCUAACUCCGUGCCAGCAGCCGCGGUAGUACGGAGGGUGCGAGCGUUAAUCGGAAUUACUGGGCGUAAAGCGCUCGUAGGCGGUAUGUCAAGUCAAGGGUGAAAUCCCCGCGCUCAACGUGGGAACUGCCUUUGAAACGGGCAAACUGGAGUGUGUGAGAGGAUAGUGGAAUUCCAGGUGUAGGAGUGAAAGCCGUAGAUAUCUGGAGGAACAUCAGUGGCGAAGGCGACUAUCUGGCACAUAACUGACGCUGAGGAGCGAAAGCGUGGGUAGCAAACAGGAUUAGAUACCCGAGUAGUC
RNAcentral lists this ribosomal RNA (465 nucleotides) under uncultured bacterium. Its description in RNAcentral is "partial 16S ribosomal RNA". It matches the Rfam family "Bacterial small subunit ribosomal RNA", at positions 338 to 795 of the family's 1533-position model. The record is from RNAcentral.